CAGGCAUGAGUCACUGUGCCCAGCUUGAAAAAAAAAAAAAAAACCUUUUUUUUUAAAGUCACAUCCAAACUCUACUACCACUUAACACAAACAAAUGAGCCCAUAUAUGCAGAGCUCCCCAUUUUAAAAAUGAAACACUCUGUGAACAACUAGGUGGGCUCAUACCGUAGCACAAUUAGAGGAAAAUGGAUCCACAUAACUUAGACGACAGAGGAGUUAAAAAGCAAAAAGCAGAGCGACCAAGAGAAAAUUUAAGGAGCAACUUGUAAGAAACUACAAAACUAAAAUUAAAAAAUUAGCCAGGCAUGGUGGCACAUGCCUGUGGUCCCAGCUACUAGGGAGGCUGCGGCAGGAGGAUCCAUUGAGCCCGGGAAGUCAAGGCACAGUGAGCCGUGAUCACAUCACUGCACUCCAGCCUGAGUGACAGAGUGAGACUCUGUCUCAAAAAAAAAAAAAAAAAAAAAAAAGAGAAAGAAACUGUAAAACUAAUAAGCCACCAAAGAAUAAGGAAGACCACCUGGUGACCAUGUUUAAGGACUCCCACUGAUUCAGGCACAGGAAGGGGGAGGUCCUGAUGAAAAAUAAAGGGAGCAUGGCAAUUCCAACAGAAUCACCAACAGAAUCUGGGCCCCAGCAAUUCCUUCCAGCACUCCUCAUCAUUCAACAUACGCCCCACGCCUA
RNAcentral lists this long non-coding RNA (681 nucleotides) under Homo sapiens (human). Its description in RNAcentral is "HSALNT0053474". The record is from RNAcentral. Lineage: Eukaryota; Metazoa; Chordata; Mammalia; Primates; Hominidae.